UCUUCUUCUUGUUUUGUUUUGUAAAUAUGUUGUGUAUCUUGUCUCUUAGAGUUGUGCUCUCAAAAGAGAGAAAAGAAAAGAGACCAGAUGAAGAAAAAAAAGAAAAAAAAAAUACAAAAAAAAUGAGAAAAAUAAAAAAUUUUGUGAAUAAAGGAGUCAAGAAGAGGAUUGAAUUAGAGGUUUUGGGUGUGCGUAUACUGUGUUUACACUUGUUCCCCAUUGCUCCUCUAUUUCCUUUGGUUUGUAGCUUCUCAUCCAUAUGUAUCCUUCCUUGUCCUUGACCCCAUUGCAUC
Molecule: long non-coding RNA, 293 nt
Filed under: Vigna radiata
Lineage: Eukaryota; Viridiplantae; Streptophyta; Magnoliopsida; Fabales; Fabaceae
Description: long non-coding RNA (VRAD_LNC016629)
Source: RNAcentral